AAGGAGUGCUAACUCAACAAGUAUUUACUUUAAGGUUCUUUAUGGGGGUAUAGCUCAGUUGGGAGAGCACCUGCCUUGCAAGCAGGGGGUCAGGAGUUCGAAUCUCCUUAUCUCCACCAAUGACCUAACAGCAAUCUUCGAUUGCGUCGUAGGUCAAGUGCCGUUUUGUUUCAAAUCUUCGAUUUAUCAAAAAACGGCCAUUGACUUAACAAAAGUCAGAACCAUGACCUAACCAAAGGUCAAAAGAACAUUGAAAAUCGAAUAACAGUAUAUAUUUC
RNAcentral lists this transfer RNA (278 nucleotides) under Finegoldia magna. Its description in RNAcentral is "partial 16S-23S ribosomal RNA intergenic spacer". The stretch from base 44 to 116 matches the Rfam family "tRNA". The record is from RNAcentral. Lineage: Bacteria; Bacillati; Bacillota; Tissierellia; Tissierellales; Peptoniphilaceae.